Molecule: ribosomal RNA, 342 nt
Filed under: Triticum aestivum (bread wheat)
Lineage: Eukaryota; Viridiplantae; Streptophyta; Magnoliopsida; Poales; Poaceae
Description: partial small subunit ribosomal RNA
Source: RNAcentral
AUGCCUUGGUUACAUGGAUUCGGUGGCACGGCGGCGGCCGGCGGGUCAUGGCCGGAAAAGAGGAAAUUUGGCAUUUUUGGCGGCGAACCGGAUCAUGCAGGUGAGACCCUCCUGCCGCAGGUAGCAGAUUCAUUCGACCUGCCUACCAACCCAAGUGUUGGCUGUCGGCUGUCGCCACUCACCCUGGGAAGAGAAUAUGGGUGGGUGACCAUCAGGUCCUGCCAGGAGAGAGGAGAGAUGCACAUAUUUCACCUGCUGCCCUGCCGGGCUGUCUGCUCUGGCGACAAAUUUUCGUGUUUUGACCCUUUUUUGAAACCUAUUCGAGAUUUGACCCUAGUUUGA